RNAcentral lists this ribosomal RNA (445 nucleotides) under uncultured organism. Its description in RNAcentral is "partial 16S ribosomal RNA". It matches the Rfam family "Bacterial small subunit ribosomal RNA", at positions 334 to 796 of the family's 1533-position model. The record is from RNAcentral.
CACUCCUACGGGAGGCAGCAGUGGGGAAUAUUGGACAAUGGGCGCAAGCCUGAUCCAGCCAUGCCGCGUGAGUGAUGAAGGCCCUAGGGUUGUAAAGCUCUUUCACCGGUGAAGAUAAUGACGGUAACCGGAGAAGAAGCCCCGGCUAACUUCGUGCCAGCAGCCGCGGUAAUACGAAGGGGGCUAGCGUUGUUCGGAUUUACUGGGCGUAAAGCGCACGUAGGCGGACUAUUAAGUCAGGGGUGAAAUCCCGGGGCUCAACCCCGGAACUGCCUUUGAUACUGGUAGUCUUGAGUUCGAGAGAGGUGAGUGGAAUUCCGAGUGUAGAGGUGAAAUUCGUAGAUAUUCGGAGGAACACCAGUGGCGAAGGCGGCUCACUGGCUCGAUACUGACGCUGAGGUGCGAAAGCGUGGGGAGCAAACAGGAUUAGAAGCCCUAGUAGUCC